Molecule: long non-coding RNA, 4743 nt
Organism: Hypanus sabinus (Atlantic stingray)
Lineage: Eukaryota; Metazoa; Chordata; Chondrichthyes; Myliobatiformes; Dasyatidae
Exons: 3
Source: RefSeq, a predicted model, not a curated record
GUAAAAAAAUAGGUUGCCUUCCAUAAAAUUCAGAGAUGAGUGAUUAUGCAUGUUUAAUAUUAUAGUGAUAGCUUACAAAUUACUCACUUAUUGAAUAUAGUUGCACAAUUUAUUAUGAUCGGAACCUGAAUUCAGGAUCACUCUUACUCUAAUCCCAUCAUGAGUAGCGUACCAUGUCUACAGCUUAACACAAGCAUUCCUACAGUCUUACAUAUUGCAAAUGCCCAAUUUUGCUGCAUGAACUAAAAAGUUAAUAUGUAAUAUGCACUGUUAAUGAUUGCAUCAGAGUGUGACAUUUUAUAUUUAAUAUUGCAGGAGACAACUCAUUUGAAAAAGGCAAUUUAUCUCACAGACACAUCUAACUAAUUGCAACAAGAAGUAUAACCAAAAACAAUUUGAAAUUGAUGAAUUCCAAACAAUUUUCAUUGUGAUCAUGACAUGCACCCCAUCUUCAUCAGUUGUGGCCACAAACUUAUCAAUCACCCGUUGUACUGCACAGGACCAAAAGAAGCUGCAGACAGUUGUAAAUUUAGUUGGCUCCAUUUUGGGUACUAACCUAUAAAGUGCCCAGGAAAUCUUCAAGGAAUGGUGUCUAAGAAAGGCAAUGUCCAUUAUUAAGGACCUCCAGCACCCAGUGCAUGCCCUUUUCUUACUGUUACCAUCAGGUAGGAGGUACAGAAGCCUGAAGGCACACACUCAGCGAUUCAGGAACAGCUUCUUCCCCUCUGCCAUCCAAUUCCUAAAUGGACAUUGAACCCUUGGACACUACCUCACUUUUUUAAUAUAUAUUAUUUCUGCUCUUUUACACAAUUUUUAAUCUAUUCAAUAUACAUAUACUGUAAUUGAUUUAGUAUUUGUUUUCCUCUUCUUCCAUAUUAUGUAUUGCAUUGCAUUGCUGCUAAGUUAAAAAAUUUCACGUCACAUGCUGGUGAUAAUAAACCUGAAUCUGAUUCAUUUAGUUCUAGGUUACUACUUUCAAGUCGCAGUAACACUGUUAGUUUGAGAGUUUUUAGUUAGUGGCUCUGUUGGCCUCGUGUUUACUAUUUUCUUUUGUUCUGUGCACUUCUCAUUAAAUUUCAGUGAACUGUUCAUCCUGCUUCUGAAUCUCUCCCUCUGCACUUGGGCCAUCACUGAACUCCUGUCAAGUAAUCUGGGUGCAAUUGAAAUCUGAGUGUGAAGAAUAAUAAAUAAUUUUUAAGCUACAGUUGAAUCAGCAAAUGCACUUUUCUGACUAGGUUAGGCUAUUAAUCUGCUCAGUGCUUAAUAACUACUGUCCGGGUACAGAUGUCUUAAUGUUUCCUCUUCAAGUACAACUAGUCAUGUCUUUGUACUAGGAGUAGCAGUGAUCUUCUUCACAUUUCUAGGGAGAAAGUCAUCCCUCCUGUGUUUGACUAUCUAGCGAGAAUUCCGUACAUCCUAUCCCCAAAAAGUCCCUGCUGCUUGGAAGUUUCAUAUUAAUCUCAGGACCACUGCAUCUGUGGUAUGAAGCUAUCAAUAAGAUUUGGGAGGAUGAAUGAUUGGCUGUUUACAGAGUGGGGUAUAGAAAGCACAUGGUCAGUCAUACUAAUUUUCUUUCUUAAAAAUAAACUUUAAAUCAUACCUAUAAUCAUCUUCAUUGAAGUUGAAUCUGCAGUACGUCUUAUCCCAUUAAUUCCUGGUAUACACAAUAAAAACACAGAUUCAUUCUCAUUAUUCACACAUUGAUGUGUUUCUGGUUCCUAAGGUUGUCAUAGCCGGGUGUGGUAGUGGGGAUAAGCUCCCACUACCUACAAAGUGCUCCAAAUGGUGUGCAACUCUAACAGCCUCUGACAACCAAGUCCAACUCUUGGCCUUCAUAUGUAGCUUAGCUUCUACACCCAGCGGUACUGUUUCUACUGACAAAAAAAGGAGAAAGGCAGACCACUGGCGCCUCAAAACCAGUUGCUUCAGGCAGGUGAGGCUCGUCAGCCUUGGACGGCAGCCUGCCUAGAAGGAAAACUCUGAUUUUAAACCUCCGUUGCCUUAUGGCCAUACCAACCCAUGGGAAAGGCUUUGGGAGUAAAUCCCGAGGAAGAAAUCCAGAGCAGGGGUCCCUAAGGCAGUUUGGUGUUGUUUACAACUUCACUCUGACGCCCUCUGCGAUGAUACUGGUGCCAAGCUGUAUCAGCACUUGCCCUUCCCUUGGACUACAUCAGUGACGUGGAGGGAGGGAACCCGUUGCAUGGGCAAAAAUGGUUCUUCAAAUCUUCCCACCCAGGCUUGUGCCCUGGAGUGGACAAAGUCCACCAGAGACACAAACCCAUGAUCCCCUGGGAUCGACAGCUGCCUACUAUGAUGUGUUCCUGAUUCAAAUCAAAUAAUACUGGUUAAAUUGGAGGACAAAGGGCAUAUUUUACAAACCUAUGACAGAGCACAGUAUAUGAUACUUUAUCCAAUGCUUGGAGUGUGUGAAACACCAAACCAAACACUGUAUAAAUUGUCUAAAAUUAUCACACUGGACUAUUGAGGUCGGUGACCAGUGCAGUGCCUCAGGGGUCUGUUCUGGGACCCUUACACUUCAUGAUUUUCAUAAAUGACCUAGUUGAGGAAGUGGAGGGAUGAGUUAGUAAGUUUGCUGAUGACACAAAGGUUGGAGGUGUUGUGGAUAGUUUGGAGGGCUGUCAGAGGUUACAGCGGGACAUUGAUAGGAUGCAAAACUGGGCUGAGAAGUGGCAGAUGGAGUUCAACCCAGAUAAGUUUCUAGUGGUUCAUUUUGGCAGGUCAAAUAUGAUGGCAGAAUAUAGUAUUAAUGGUAAGACUCUUGGCACUGUGGAGGAUCAGAGGGAUCUUGGGGUCCGAGUGCAUGGGACACUCAAAGCAGCUGCCCAGAUUGACUCAAUGGUUAAGAAGGCAUACGGUGUAUUGGCCUUCAUCAAUUGUGGAAUUGAAUUUAGGAGCCGAGAGAUAAUGUUGCAGCUAUAUAGGACCCUGGUCAGACCCCACUUGGAGUACUGUGCUCAGUUCUGGUCACCUCAUUACAGGAAGGAUGUGAAAGCCAUAGAAAGAGUGUGGAGGAGAUUUACAAGGAUGUUGCCUGGAUUGGGGAGCAUACCUUAUGAGAAUAGGUUGAGUGAACUCAGCCUUUUCUCCUUGGAGCGACGGAGGAUGAGAGGUGACCUAAUUGAGGUGUAUAAGAUGAUGAGAGGCAUUGAUUGUGUGGAUAGUCAGAAGCUUUUUCCCAGGGCUGAAAUGGUUGCCACAAGAGGACACAGGUUUAAAGUGCUGGGGAGUAGGUACAGAGGAGAUGUCAGGGUUAAGUUUUUUUUACUCAGAGAGUGGCGAGUGAAUGGAAUGGGCUGCCGGCAACAGUGGUGGAGGCAGAUAUGAUAGGGUCUUUUAAGAGACUUUUGGAUAGGUACAUGGAGCUUACAAAAAUAGAGGUCUACGGGUAAGCCUUGUAAUUUCGAUGGUAGGGUCAUGUUCGGCACAACUUUGUGGGCCGAAGGGCCUGUAUUGUGCUGUAGGUUUUCUAUGUUUCUAAGUUUCUAAGUCAAUGCUUACACAGGAGAAAUGAAAAUUACAGCCCUGAAACAGAUCAUGCAACACAAAUAUUCUGUACUGAUGUUUAUACUCCAUCAGAUCUCCAUAUAAUUCACUUGAUUUCAGUUUUUCAAUGUCUUUUUGAUUAUCUUUUUAGUCUUCUUUUCAUCUGAUUUCCUUUUGUAUCUAUUUGCCUUAAUCACUUUGUGCGGUAGUGAGUUCAACAAUAUUUUCUAAGUAUUGUGUGUAAUUAUGUUUUCCAAUAAUUCCCCAAUUCAGUUUGGGUAUUUACAGCUUCUAAUUUUAACUGACAGACAGACAAAGAUGGGAAAGUAAACACAAUUAAUUUUUAAGAAAAAUUUAGGAACAAGCUCAGCGUGACUGGCCACGAGCUUUCCAUCCCCCACUCUGCAAGCAAUUUAGUCUUCAUCCUUGUAAAUCCUCCUGGUAGCCUUCUGCCACCAGCUCUCUUGAGACAAGAGAACUUUGAACGUACAAUGCCAGAUGAAAACCAAGUUACUGGAAAUGGAUGAAACACAUCUGGUUGCUAUUUGUGAGAAAACUGUGACCCUGAUUUGGACUGUGAUUUUAUAAACCUUUGAAAUCAAAACCAAUGGUCACUUUAUUAAGCCUUGCACUAUUUAAACCCAAAAUGAAAUAUUAGACUGAUUUUAAAACAUACUGCACAAUUUGAACUAGUCAUGUGAUGUCUUUUAAAAAUGUAUUCUAACAUUUUUGAACAAAAACAUGCAAAUAAUUUAACUAAUAUUAUUGAGUCUAGAUUUCUUCCCAAGUGACAGGCUGAAUGGAAAUAAAAGCUUGAUGCAAUUUGUACUGUAUAUUAAUCAGAAUUUAUGCAACAUUUAUAUUCUUUGUGUUGUCUGUACCUACAUGUCUGAGAUGCUAGUGCAAACAAGUUUUUCACUGUACUUGUACCUCUCCAUACUUGUGCAUAUGAGAAUUUAUUUGUUCCCAACCAGGAGGUGGCUGAAUUUCAGCAGCCAUCCAGUGACAGUGAUCUCCUGUAAGUUUAGUAUACAGUAUGUUUUGGGAGAAUAUGUCACUGCAGGGUAAAUAAUAGCGAGAAUUUAAGGGGACAAACCAGAUAAAAUCAUUAUGGAAACACAUUUUAAAAUUAUUACUUCAAGAAACUGUCAGAUAUGAGAACUCCAAAGUGUAUAGCCAACAAGAUAUAAUGGCUUCUAACUUUACAUCUUUAGUGUAAGAGUAUGUAGAAUUGUUUAU